AGUAAAUAGAUACCCGGGUAGUCCACGCCGUAAACGAUGAGUACUAGGUGUAGGAGGUAUCGACUCCUUCUGUGCCGCAGUUAAACACAAUAAGUACUCCGCCUGGGAAGUACGGUCGCAAGAUUAAAACUCAAAGGAAUUGACGGGGGCCCGCACAAGCAGCGGAGCAUGUGGUUUAAAUUCGAAGCAACGCGAAGAACCUUACCUAGACUUGACAUCCCCUGAAUAACGUAGGGAUACGCGAAGCCCUUCGGGGCAGGGAGACAGGUGGUGCAUGGUUGUCGUCAGCUCGUGUCGUGAGAUGUUGGGUUAAGUCCCGCAACGAGCGCAACCCUUAUCAUUAGUUGCUACCAUUUAGUUGAGCACUCUAGUGAGACUGCCCGGGUUAACCGGGAGGAAGGCGGGGAUGACGUCAAAUCAUCAUGCCCCUUACGUCUAGGGCUACACACGUGCUACAAUGGUGAGAACAACGAGAUGCAAUACCGCGAGGUGGAGCAAAACUUCAAAACUCAUCUCAGUUCGGAUUGUAGGCUGAAACUCGCCUAC
RNAcentral lists this ribosomal RNA (546 nucleotides) under uncultured bacterium. RNAcentral describes it as "bacterial SSU rRNA". It matches the Rfam family "Bacterial small subunit ribosomal RNA", at positions 775 to 1319 of the family's 1533-position model. The record is from RNAcentral.